CCCUUAGAUGUUCUGGGCCGCACGCGCGCUACACUGUUCGACGCAGCGAGUCUUAACCUUGACCGAAAGGUUUGGGUAAUCUUCAGCAAAGUCGAACGUGAUGGGGAUCGAUCAUUGCAAUUAUUGAUCGUGAACGAGGAAUUCCUAGUAAGUGCAAGUCAUCAGCUUGCGCUGAUUACGUCCCUGCCCUUUGUACACACCGCCCGUCGCUACUACCGAUUGAAUGGUUUAGUGAGAUCUCUGGAUUGACGCUGGCUAGGGUGCGACCCUUGGCCAGACUGUUGAGAAACUGCUCAAACUUGAUCAUUUAGAGGAAGUAAAAGUCGUAACA
This 331-nucleotide ribosomal RNA is filed under the name uncultured eukaryote. Its description in RNAcentral is "partial 18S ribosomal RNA". It matches the Rfam family "Eukaryotic small subunit ribosomal RNA", at positions 1470 to 1796 of the family's 1831-position model. The record is from RNAcentral.